GCAAUGCCGCGUGGGUGAAGAAGGUCUUCGGAUCGUAAAGCCCUUUCGACGGGGACGAUGAUGACGGUACCCGUAGAAGAAGCCCCGGCUAACUUCGUGCCAGCAGCCGCGGUAAUACGAAGGGGGCUAGCGUUGCUCGGAAUUACUGGGCGUAAAGGGCGCGUAGGCGGCGGCCCAAGUCAGGCGUGAAAUUCCUGGGCUCAACCUGGGGACUGCGCUUGAUACUGGGUUGCUUGAGGAUGGAAGAGGCUCGUGGAAUUCCCAGUGUAGAGGUGAAAUUCGUAGAUAUUGGGAAGAACACCGGUGGCGAAGGCGGCGAGCUGGUCCAUUACUGACGCUGAGGCGCGACAGCGUGGGGAGCAAACAGGAUUAGAUACCCUGGUAGUCCACGCCGUAAACGAUGUGCGCUGGAUGUUGGGGCCCAUAGG
Molecule: ribosomal RNA, 428 nt
Filed under: uncultured bacterium
Lineage: Bacteria
Description: bacterial SSU rRNA
Rfam family: Bacterial small subunit ribosomal RNA
Source: RNAcentral